GGUGGCUGUGGUCCAUCCCUGGGGUCACCGGGCCCUGUGCCUCCGCUCCUCCCAGGUCCACCCAGGGCGGGUGCCUGCUCCCCACCCAGCCUCGGCGUCUCCACCUGCCAAAUGGGUUCCAGCUCUUGUCCUCUGUGGUCUGGGGUGGGCACCCAGGAAGUGAGACUUGCGAGGCACCCCUAGGCUUGGUCUCAAAGGGAGAAAACAUCCCCUGAGCCUGCUCCAGAGCCCCCAAGUAGAAAUCUCUGGGUGACUGCCUUUGCCCUGGGGGAGGGGGGGUGAUCCCUAGGGGUGGGUUCCCACUGGUCCCAAAGUGUGCACCAGGUCACUCCUGGAACCACAGGCCCUGGCUGCUCUCCCCAGCAUCCAUUUCACAGGUGAGAAACUGAGGCUGGGACUGCAGGCUGAGUCUGUAUUCAGUGAGGAAUGCACCAGGCCUGCACCUAUUAGACACCUGCUGCGUGCCCUGACUUGGCACCAAGGACCCUGGGAUAAGCCGACCUGCCAGGGCCAAGGAGAGCCAUGUUCAGGGAGGGGUCUGGAGAACUUCACCAGGUAGUGGCCUUUGAAGGUGACCCACGCUGGUAAAACUCAAACAGGGCAGAAGCAUUAAAAUAACCACCCUCGUCCCACAGCCUUGCCUCGCGAAGGAAUCCCGGCCUCCGGUUCGGGAGCAUCCUCCCAGGCCUCCUCCAGAACAUUCGCUCACACACGGAUACUCAGGCUCGCAGACGUAUACGGACGCACACGCAUAUGUACGCAGACACACGUGCACCCAGACUCACAGGAACACGCGGACACGUGGGAACGCUGAUUACGUAAAGAGGUUGGUCAGAAUAUUCUGUGGUGUGGGUGUAUUUAUGCAGACAGAGUUUCUAGAGAUGAAUCAAGGCGCAUUUGAUUUUUACGGGUUUUGCUAUAAGAAACCCCACCUCCUUUUCCGGCCCUCCUCCUGCCGCCCCAUCAAAGGCAUGUCGUGUUACCGGUCUGUCUCCCUCGCCGUGGGGCGUGGCGGAACUGAAGUUGCUAGGUGCAGGGUGGCCCGUGUCUAAACACUUCAUGGCUGAUGACACAUUGCCAGGGCUGUUUGGCUGGUGGUGAUGGGUUGCCCUGGGGUGUGGAAAUGGGGUAGCAUCCACCCCUCAAGAUCCAGGAAGAUGCCCUGGGCGUGAGAGCAAAGCCAAGGAGAGAAGUCUGAGGCCAGCUGCUGGACAGGACCCUUGACCUUCUUGAGGGAGGUGUCUGAGGCCUUUGGGGCUCUCUGGAUUUGUGUGGGCCACAAGCAUUGACUAUCCCCUGAAAAUGCAGUUACAACCAACUAAAAUAGACCCCCCCCGCCCCCCAGAGACCCCUAUGGAGAGGGCUCUCUCACGCCGGGGGUUUUCCGUGAACAUGUGGGUGACCUGUUACUCUGCCUGGGUUCCACAUUACCCCACGAUCUGUUGAGUGCUGGGGAGUUCUCUUCAAAUUCACUCUCCCCUGAUGGGGGUGACCCUAACCACAGCAGGGCCGGGGCUUUGACUGGUUGACACUGACUCCCGAGGUGUGUGAGUGUGUGUGUUGGGGCGAGGGGGCUGCGCAUCUUCCUGUCUCCCUGCCAGCAUUCCCCUCCUCAGCUUCCUCUGUCUGUGGACCAGCUCCGCGCACCAGCUCUGAAGGUGUUUCCAUUGGGUGAAGGCACUUGGUGGCCUUGCACGCUGCACGAGUUCUGAGCUUCAGAAUGUGUCACUGCAGGCUGUCGGGUUCAGGAGCCAGUCUCACACAGGUGAAUCCCGACAGGACCCACAGACAGAUGAGGACGGAGACAGGAGGAGACUGAGUCUGCAGUGUGCCAACCCUGGGCUGCCCCUGUGCUUGGCUGCCACACUGUCUCACCUGGGUCUGGGCUGAGGACCUGGCCCUGGAGACCAAGGACAUUCCAGAGCCUUGGUUUGGAAUCCUCAGUUCCGUGGACGUGGAUGUCCUCGUGGAGUGUGCACGAGCCAGACAGGCCUGGGCUGGAGCUCCUGCCUCUGCUCUCUGCGAGUCUGUUUCCCCACGGUCAGAUGGGAGAGUGAGGGCUCCCAGCUUGCAGAAGGGCAGGAACUGGUGCUGUUGACCCGGGGUGGCACUGGCAUGAUCUGGAGAAGAACCUGGCUUCUGGUUUGGGGUUGGCCCCCACCCGUGAGGCUGGUACCUGUUUUGUCUGUGGACAGGUUAUGCUGUGAGAUUGUCUUUGCCGAUAAUUUAUUUAACACAAGUUCACUGGGAUUAUAACAAUUUCACAAGCCAGUAGCAUACAGGAUAAUGUCUCUUAAUAAGGCAAUAAAGAAAUAAAAAGGGGCUGGCCCUGCGGCCUAGUGGUUAAGUUUGGCACGCUCCACUUCGGCAGUCUGGGUUUGGUUCCUGGGCACAGACCUACACCACUUGUCAGCAGCCACACUGUGGCAGCAGCUCGCUCACAAAAUAGAGGAAGAUUGGCACAGAUGUUACCUUAGGGCAAAUCUUCCUCAGCAAAAAAAGAAAAAGAAAGAAAUUGUAUACUCCAAACCAAUGAUCGACUAAUUACACUCUUGUUCCAGGCAAAGGGGAGAGGAAAGAAAUAAAGUCCAAAUUUACUUGAGGUGUCCCUUUCUCUGAGCUGAUUCUUGGACAAGUCGACUUAGAGCUGACAUCCAGCUGCCAUUGCAAAGUUCCAGCUAUUCCCUGGCCACAGUUGCUCUGCCACAGUUCUUGUGGAGAAGACCCCAGCAGCACCUGUCACCUGCGCUCCUGUGUGCUUACGGACAACAAAUGACGAAUGUCAACGACGGCUUCCUGGCACGGCUUCCUCGGCGUGGACAACCUCACUCUUAGAUGGGGCAGCUCCACUCUUGUCCUACAUAAGUGGGCUUGAAGUCGCGUCAAACCGAGACACAGCAGCCCCGCGUCCCAUGCUGCAGACGUCCACACCCGACUGGGGUGGUUUGUGUGCCGCAUGCGGUUGGAAUUCCUCCCCAGAAACAGCGCAGACUUCUCCAACCGGUUUUUAUUUUGUCCUUAAGCCACAUAUUUGAAAAUUACUUAAUCAAAGAGGGUCAUGAACUAAAUCUCAGGCCUGGCUCUGGGGCCCCAGGAGGGGAGUUCGUGAAC
RNAcentral lists this long non-coding RNA (3111 nucleotides) under Equus caballus (horse). RNAcentral's name for it is "lncRNA (ENSECAG00000050072.1)". The record is from RNAcentral. Lineage: Eukaryota; Metazoa; Chordata; Mammalia; Perissodactyla; Equidae.